CGAGCGGUANCACNNGGAGCUUGCUCCUGGGUGACGAGCGGCGGACGGGUGAGUAAUGUCUGGGAAACUGCCUGAUGGAGGGGGAUAACUACUGGAAACGGUAGCUAAUACCGCAUAACGUCGCAUGACCAAAGAGGGGGACCUUCGGGCCUCUUGCCAUCAGAUGUGCCCAGAUGGGAUUAGCUAGUAGGUGGGGUAAUGGCUCNCCUAGGCGACGAUCCCUAGCUGGUCUGAGAGGAUGACCAGCCACACUGGAACUGAGACACGGUCCAUACUCCUACGGGAGGCAGCANUGGGGAAUAUUGGACAAUGGGCGCGAGCCUGAUGCACCCUUGCCGCGUGUAUGAAGAAGGCCUUCGGGUUGUGAAGUACUUUCAGCGAAGAGGAAGGCAUUGUGGUUAAUAACCGCAGUGAUUGACAUUACUCACAGAANAAGCACCGGCUAACUCCGUGCCAGCAGCCGCG
RNAcentral lists this ribosomal RNA (465 nucleotides) under Enterobacter sp. 73_a_1. Its description in RNAcentral is "bacterial SSU rRNA". It matches the Rfam family "Bacterial small subunit ribosomal RNA", at positions 63 to 519 of the family's 1533-position model. Lineage: Bacteria; Pseudomonadati; Pseudomonadota; Gammaproteobacteria; Enterobacterales; Enterobacteriaceae. The record is from RNAcentral.